AACUGGCACUGGACAAAGACAGACACCUUAUUGGUGACAGUCUUCUUGUAUCAGUCAGAGGCAAAACAAAUGGCAGUCCUUUAGUCAUCCUAGCUUGAUGCCUGGCUUGGUGGCCAAAGCUGAUUUAUACCUGGGCCACAUAA
Small nucleolar RNA from Mastomys coucha (southern multimammate mouse), 143 nucleotides. RefSeq annotates it as small nucleolar RNA SNORA48. The transcript has a single exon. The record is from RefSeq and is a predicted model, not a curated record. NCBI's taxonomy places the organism in Eukaryota, Metazoa, Chordata, Mammalia, Rodentia, Muridae.